Camellia sinensis is the source of this 119-nucleotide ribosomal RNA. NCBI's taxonomy places the organism in Eukaryota, Viridiplantae, Streptophyta, Magnoliopsida, Ericales, Theaceae. The record is from RefSeq and is a predicted model, not a curated record.
GGGUGUGAUCAUACCAGCACUAAUGCACUGGAUCCCAUCUGAACACAGUAGUUAAGCGUGCUUGGAUGAGAGAAGUACUAGGAUGGGUGACCCCUUGGGAAGUUCUCGUGUUGCAACCC